RNAcentral lists this long non-coding RNA (730 nucleotides) under Medicago truncatula (barrel medic). Its description in RNAcentral is "long non-coding RNA (MTRU_LNC008346)". Lineage: Eukaryota; Viridiplantae; Streptophyta; Magnoliopsida; Fabales; Fabaceae. The record is from RNAcentral.
CCCCUUGGGCUAGCGCUUACGUAGCUUGCACAAAUUGAAUUAUGGAAAAUACAAUUUUCCAUGUUCGUCACAAUUAUAUUAUAUUCAUAGUUUGAAAUUCAUUUUAACCCAUACCUUAUUUCAAUGCUUUCACAGGCUAAUACUAAUCCACAAGAAAUAAUAUUUUUUUUCCUUUGACUCCUUGUCCUCCUCCAAUCGAUACAACUCGAUAAUUUAUGAUUAAAGAUAAAAAAAAAUGUGAAAAGGUCAAUUUCAAGACUGAGUCAGCUAAACUGACCCCAAAUAAGAAAAUAAUUUGGUGGAUAAUAUAGACAACGUUUACUCGAUCAUUUUGGUGUUGAUUUAACUCAAAUCAGACUUGCAGUGAGGAAGAACAUAGCAAAAACAUGAAAUUCAUCAAUAGAAAAAAUUGGGAUUUUGAAUUGAUAAAUAUUUCAAUGAGUAUAUGAAAAUGACUAAAUCAAUAGUAGAAACAUCAUAUGAAAAUUUGGAAUGAAAAGGAGAUGGUUUGUUACACAACAAUUUAACAAGAAGAUUGAUUUUCUUCUAUUUUCUCUCACACAAAGCAGUGUUAUUGUUGCUUUCAUAUAUUUACCGUAGCUAACCCUUGUUAUAUUUAUAUAAUAAUAACUAUGUCUAUCUCUUUGCAGCAUCAACAUUUGAGUCUGGUCCAUUAUGCACCACUUAAUUCAUUUUUUGUUUUUAUGAAUUAACUCGGCCAACUAUCUAA